Molecule: small nuclear RNA, 106 nt
Organism: Ictidomys tridecemlineatus (thirteen-lined ground squirrel)
Lineage: Eukaryota; Metazoa; Chordata; Mammalia; Rodentia; Sciuridae
Source: Ensembl
AUUUGCUUCGGCAGCACAUAUACUAUAUAAUUGGAACUGUACAGUGAAGAUUGGCAUGGCCCCUGCACAAGGAUGACAGCAAAUUCAUGAAGUGUUCCAUUUAAAA